AUACGUAGGUGGCAAGCGUUGUCCGGAUUUAUUGGGCGUAAAGCGAGCGCAGGCGGUUCUUUAAGUCUGAUGUGAAAGCCCCCGGCUCAACCGGGGAGGGGCAUUGGAAACUGGAGAACUUGAGUGCAGAAGAGGAGAGUGGAAUUCCAUGUGUAGCGGUGAAAUGCGUAGAUAUAUGGAGGAACACCAGUGGCGAAGGCGGCUCUCUGGUCUGUAACUGACGCUGAGGCUCGAAAGCGUGGGGAGCAAACAGGAUUAGAUACCCUGGUAGUCCACGCCGUAAACGAUGAGUGCUAAGUGUUGGAGGGUUUCCGCCCUUCAGUGCUGCAGCUAACGCAUUAAGCACUCCGCCUGGGGAGUACGGCCGCAAGGCUGAAACUCAAAUGAAUUGACGGGG
RNAcentral lists this ribosomal RNA (397 nucleotides) under uncultured bacterium. RNAcentral's name for it is "partial 16S ribosomal RNA". It matches the Rfam family "Bacterial small subunit ribosomal RNA", at positions 523 to 918 of the family's 1533-position model. The record is from RNAcentral.